GAUGAACGCUAGCUACAGGCUUAACACAUGCAAGUCGUGGGGCAGCAUGAAGGAAGCUUGCUUCCUUUGAUGGCGACCGGCGCACGGGUGAGUAACGCGUAUCCAACCUUCCCCUUACUAGAGGAUAGCCCGGCGAAAGUCGGAUUAAUACUCUAUGUUCUCCUUUGCAGGCAUCUAACGAGGAGCAAAGAUUCAUCGGUAAGGGAUGGGGAUGCGUCUGAUUAGCUUGCCGGCGGGGUAACGGCCCACCGGGGCAACGAUCAGUAGGGGUUCUGAGAGGAAGGUCCCCCACAUUGGUACUGAGACACGGACCAAACUCC
RNAcentral lists this ribosomal RNA (320 nucleotides) under uncultured Prevotella sp. RNAcentral's name for it is "bacterial SSU rRNA". It matches the Rfam family "Bacterial small subunit ribosomal RNA", at positions 28 to 339 of the family's 1533-position model. Lineage: Bacteria; Pseudomonadati; Bacteroidota; Bacteroidia; Bacteroidales; Prevotellaceae. The record is from RNAcentral.